UUUAAAAUACAGCUCAGUCAGCAGAGCAUGAGGCUCUUAAUCUCAGGGUUGUGGGUUUGAGACCCUUGUUGGACAAAA
This is a non-coding RNA of Podarcis lilfordi (Lilford's wall lizard), 78 nucleotides long. Lineage: Eukaryota; Metazoa; Chordata; Lepidosauria; Squamata; Lacertidae. The record is from the annotation of a GenBank genome assembly.